CUACGGGGUGCAGCAGUCGAGAAUAUUGGGCAAUGGACGCAAGUCUGACCCAGCGACGUCGCGUGCAGGAAGAAGGCUUUCGGGUUGUAAACUGCUUUUCUUGGGGAGCAAUCUUCGGAUGAGUGUACCCAAGGAAUAAGGAGCCGCUAAUUACGUGCCAGAAGCGUCGGUAAUACGUAAGCUUCAAGCGUUAUCCGGAUUUAUUGGGCGUAAAGCGUUCGUAGGCGGAUUAAAAAGUCUUUGAUUAAAUUAAAAAGCUUAACUUUUGAGCUGUCAAAGAUACUUUUAGACUAGAGGGCGUUAGAGGCUGAUGGAACGGUCAGUGUAGGGGUGAAAUCCGUUGAUAUUGACCGGAACACCAAAAGCGAAGGCAUUCAGCUAGAGCGACCCUGACGCUGAAGAACGAAAGCGUGGGUAUCGAAUGGGAUUAGAUACCCCCGUAGUC
This 445-nucleotide ribosomal RNA is filed under the name uncultured bacterium. RNAcentral's name for it is "partial 16S ribosomal RNA". It matches the Rfam family "Bacterial small subunit ribosomal RNA", at positions 339 to 795 of the family's 1533-position model. The record is from RNAcentral.